AGGUUUUUGUUUAGUACGUAGGCAUAAGCCCUCAGCUGAGGGUUAUGAAUCGUGCAUGCCAUCCAAGGACAUUAGAUGGUAUCUUUAGAAGAUUUCAUUUUCCU
Drosophila melanogaster (fruit fly) is the source of this 104-nucleotide regulatory RNA element. It matches the Rfam family "R2 RNA element", at positions 90 to 204 of the family's 212-position model. From Rfam's summary of the family: This family represents the 3' UTR region of the R2 retrotransposable element. This family is known to interact with the R2-encoded reverse transcriptase in a reaction known as target primed reverse transcription (TPRT). The record is from Rfam. NCBI's taxonomy places the organism in Eukaryota, Metazoa, Arthropoda, Insecta, Diptera, Drosophilidae.